UGGGGAAUAUUGGACAAUGGGGGCAACCCUGAUCCAGCCAUGCCGCGUGAGUGAUGAAGGCCCUAGGGUUGUAAAGCUCUUUCAACGGUGAAGAUAAUGACGGUAACCGUAGAAGAAGCCCCGGCUAACUUCGUGCCAGCAGCCGCGGUAAUACGAAGGGGGCUAGCGUUGUUCGGAUUUACUGGGCGUAAAGCGCACGUAGGCGGAUCGUUAAGUGAGGGGUGAAAUCCCGGGGCUCAACCCCGGAACUGCCUCUCAUACUGGCGAUCUGGAGUUCGAGAGAGGUGAGUGGAAUUCCGAGUGUAGAGGUGAAAUUCGUAGAUAUUCGGAGGAACACCAGUGGCGAAGGCGGCUCACUGGCUCGAUACUGACGCUGAGGUGCGAAAGCGUGGGGAGCAAACAGGAUUAGAUACCCCCGUAGUCC
Molecule: ribosomal RNA, 424 nt
Filed under: uncultured prokaryote
Description: bacterial SSU rRNA
Rfam family: Bacterial small subunit ribosomal RNA
Source: RNAcentral